GCAGCAUUCCAGCAAUGAUCACAGGUGGUAAGAAGGAACCGAGGAGGCGGCAAGUCCCUAUAUACCGUGCCAUGAGGGCGCAUCUUCAGCGGGCACCAGAGCCGACCCGACGGAAAACACUGUGGGGAAAACUUUACGGUGGUGGUGCACGCGGCACGUCACACCUACAUUGGAAUGGGCAUAAGCAAGCACUCGAAUAAGAAUAAUGAGAAGCAUCUGAAGCAGACAGGAAGGAGGGUGGGUAAUGGAAUACUCAAAGAAUCAAUGGAUUCGAAGAACUCCAGUUACCAUACUGUCUUGGGGCCGAGGAAUAAAACACUGAUAUCUGACAGCCUGCUGAGGCCAGAAUCACUUCCUUUGUCGCCGGUGUGUAAAUUCCAAG
Long non-coding RNA from Mauremys mutica (yellowpond turtle), 382 nucleotides. RefSeq lists it as uncharacterized. NCBI's taxonomy places the organism in Eukaryota, Metazoa, Chordata, Testudines, Geoemydidae. The transcript has 3 exons. The record is from RefSeq and is a predicted model, not a curated record.